AUUGAACGCUGGCGGCAGGCCUAACACAUGCAAGUCGAACGGUAACAGGAAGCGGCUUGCUGCUUCGCUGACGAGUGGCGGACGGGUGAGUAAUGUCUGGGAAGCUGCCUGAUGGAGGGGGAUAACUACUGGAAACGGUAGCUAAUACCGCAUACUGUCGCAAGACCAAAGAGGGGGACCUUCGGGCCUCUUGCCAUCGGAUGUGCCCAGAUGGGAUUAGCUUGUUGGUGGGGUAACGGCUCACCAAGGCGACGAUCCCUAGCUGGUCUGAGAGGAUGACCAGCCACACUGGGACUGAGACACGGUCCAGACUCCUACGGGAGGCAGCAGUGGGGAAUAUUGCACAAUGGGCGCAAGCCUGAUGCAGCCAUGCCGCGUGUAUGAAGAAGGCCUUCGGGUUGUAAAGUACUUUCAGCGGGGAGGAAGGGAGUAAAGUUAAUACCUUUGCUCAUUGACGUUACCCGCAGAAGAAGCACCGGCUAACUCCGUG
Molecule: ribosomal RNA, 490 nt
Filed under: uncultured bacterium
Lineage: Bacteria
Description: partial 16S ribosomal RNA
Rfam family: Bacterial small subunit ribosomal RNA
Source: RNAcentral